Molecule: ribosomal RNA, 496 nt
Filed under: uncultured bacterium
Lineage: Bacteria
Description: partial 16S ribosomal RNA
Rfam family: Bacterial small subunit ribosomal RNA
Source: RNAcentral
GAUGAACGCUGGCGGCGUGCCUAAUACAUGCAAGUCGAGCGAACGGACGAGAAGCUUGCUUCUCUGAUGUUAGCGGCGGACGGGUGAGUAACACGUGGAUAACCUACCUAUAAGACUGGGAUAACUUCGGGAAACCGGAGCUAAUACCGGAUGAUAUUUUGAACCGCAUGGUUCAAAAGUGAAAGACGGUCUUGCUGUCACUUAUAGAUGGAUCCGCGCUGCAUUAGCUAGUUGGUAAGGUAACGGCUUACCAAGGCAACGAUGCAUAGCCGACCUGAGAGGGUGAUCGGCCACACUGGAACUGAGACACGGUCCAGACUCCUACGGGAGGCAGCAGUAGGGAAUCUUCCGCAAUGGGCGAAAGCCUGACGGAGCAACGCCGCGUGAGUGAUGAAGGUCUUCGGAUCGUAAAACUCUGUUAUUAGGGAAGAACAUAUGUGUAAGUAACUGUGCACAUCUUGACGGUACCGAAGCAGAAAGCCACGGCUAACUACGU